Molecule: ribosomal RNA, 258 nt
Filed under: uncultured bacterium
Lineage: Bacteria
Description: partial 16S ribosomal RNA
Rfam family: Bacterial small subunit ribosomal RNA
Source: RNAcentral
UACGUAGGGUGCAAGCGUUGUCCGGAAUUAUUGGGCGUAAAGAGCUCGUAGGCGGUCUGUCGCGUCGGCUGUGAAACUUGGGGCUCAACCCCAAGCCUGCAGUCGAUACGGGCAGACUAGAGUGCGGUAGGGGAGACUGGAAGUUCCUGGUGUAGCGGUGAAAUGACGCCAGAUAUCAGGAGGAACACCGGUGGCGAAGGCGGGUCUCUGGGCCGUAAACUGACGCUGGAGGAGCGAAAGCCGUGGGGAGCGAACAGG